GUGUGCAUGUGGUGUGUUUGUGAUAAAAUUGCUUAGAUUCUUGUUAGGAUAAAAGGCUCUGAACGGGUUUGAUGCAGAAGAUUUCCUCAUAGAUCUCUACUAUCAUGUCCAGAAAAGCGCAAAACGGAAGGACCAACUUAAAGAAAUUUAAGUUGGAAAUUUCCAACUUAAAGAAGUCAGCUGGGGAAAGAUGGACAUGCAAAAGCCAGUGUAUAUGAAGACACCCAUGGGAUUAGGAAUACAUUGUGUGGUAUUCUGGCGUCCAAAAUUAACAUUUCCAAAGACACCACUUGUUUCAGCUGGAGUCCAGAUGAAAAACUUGUGACAAAUGCUAAAUCUGCAACAUAUAAAGCAUUACACUAGAUCAGAUGAUCAAAUCUGUGUAAUAAAAUGUACUUAUUUGAUUCCUA
Long non-coding RNA from Neoarius graeffei (lesser salmon catfish), 410 nucleotides. RefSeq lists it as uncharacterized. The transcript has 2 exons. NCBI's taxonomy places the organism in Eukaryota, Metazoa, Chordata, Actinopteri, Siluriformes, Ariidae. The record is from RefSeq and is a predicted model, not a curated record.